RNAcentral lists this ribosomal RNA (492 nucleotides) under uncultured bacterium. RNAcentral describes it as "partial 16S ribosomal RNA". It matches the Rfam family "Bacterial small subunit ribosomal RNA", at positions 29 to 507 of the family's 1533-position model. The record is from RNAcentral.
AGUGAACGCUGGCGGUAGGCCUAACACAUGCAAGUCGAACGGCAGCACAGUAAGAGCUUGCUCUUACGGGUGGCGAGUGGCGGACGGGUGAGGAAUACAUCGGAAUCUACUUUUUCGUGGGGGAUAACGUAGGGAAACUUACGCUAAUACCGCAUACGACCUACGGGUGAAAGCAGGGGAUCUUCGGACCUUGCGCGAUUGAAUGAGCCGAUGUCGGAUUAGCUAGUUGGCGGGGUAAAGGCCCACCAAGGCGACGAUCCGUAGCUGGUCUGAGAGGAUGAUCAGCCACACUGGAACGGAGAACCGGUCCAGACUCCUACGGGAGGCAGCAGGGGGGAAUAUUGGACAAUGGGCGCAGGCCUGAUCCAGCCAUACCGCGUGGGUGAAGAAGGCCUUCGGGUUGUAAAGCCCUUUUGUUGGGAAAGAAAAGCAGCAGGUUAAUACCCCGCUGUUCUGACGGUACCCAAAGAAUAAGCACCGGCUAACUUCGUG